Long non-coding RNA from Bactrocera dorsalis (oriental fruit fly), 340 nucleotides. RefSeq lists it as uncharacterized. Lineage: Eukaryota; Metazoa; Arthropoda; Insecta; Diptera; Tephritidae. The transcript has 3 exons. The record is from RefSeq and is a predicted model, not a curated record.
CGCUAAAACAGUACUUAAUUAUCUUUUGCGCGUAUAUGGUGAUAAAUCAGGCAAAAUUGAGAUUCCACCCGAACCCACAACAUGCUGCAUGUCUGGUUGUGCGAAUUGCGUUUGGAUCGAAUAUGCAGAGACCUUGUCAAAACUUUUCGAAGUAUGGAGUUGAAAAAUAUUGCGCAAAGCAAAGCCGAUGAAACAAGUACGAGUACUUCGAAAAAGGAUCAAUAGCCGCUAUGGAAAGAAUUUUUGCCUCCCACUCUUAUUUAACAAUAAACUAAAUAUAUUUAUAUGCUAUACAAAUUAAGUGCAAAAUAAAAUAGUUUAGAUAUACAAAUGAAGAAAA